This 816-nucleotide ribosomal RNA is filed under the name uncultured bacterium. RNAcentral's name for it is "bacterial SSU rRNA". It matches the Rfam family "Bacterial small subunit ribosomal RNA", at positions 21 to 874 of the family's 1533-position model. The record is from RNAcentral.
GGCUCAGAAUGAACGCUAGUAGUAUGCUUAACACAUGCAAGUCGAACGGGAAUUUUAUUCUCGUGGCGCACGGGUGAGUAAACGCAGAAUUUUCCCUUUCAGUUCAGAACAACGUUACUUUUAGUAAUUAAAUCCUGAAUAUUUUUAAAGGUUUAUUCCGCUGAAAGAUAAAUCUGCUUAAGAUUAGGUUGUUGGUAAUUUAAAAGCUUACCAAGCCAAUGAUCUUUAGUUGGUCUGAGAGGACGAUCAACCACACUGGAACUGAAACAAGGUCCAGGCUAAUUCGUUGGCCAGCAGUGAGGAAUAUUGGAGUCAAUGAACGAAAGUUUGAUCCAGCAAUACUAACUGGGUGACGACGGCUUAUUAAGUUGUAAGAUCCUUUAAUUAAAGAAGAUAAUGACAUUAUUUAAUUGAAUUAGUCCUGGCUAAUACUCGUGCCAGCAGCCGCGGUAAUACGGGAAGGGCAAGCGUUAUUCGGCAUGAUUGGGCGUAAAGGGUCCGUAGACGGUAAAGUAAGUUUUUUGUUAAAUUUUAAGACUCAAUCUUAACAUGGCAAUUAAUACUAUUUUACUGCGAGUUUAAUACAGAAAAGUAGAAUUUUAUACGAUAGAGGUGAAAUUCGCAAAUAUAUAAAGGAAUGCCAAUAGCGAAGGCAACUUUUUGGUAUAAACUGACGUUGAGGGACGAAAGCGUGGGUAGCAAACGGGAUUAGAGACCCCGGUAGUCCACGCCGUAAAUUCUGAGUGCUGUAAUUUAAUUGUAAUAUUUUUUAAAUAUUAUUUAGAUUUUCAAGCUAACGCAAUAAGCACUCCGCCU